AAACUUAAAGGAAUUGGCGGGGGAGCACCACAACAGGUGGAGCCUGCGGUUUAAUUGGAUUCAACGCCGGACAUCUCACCGGAUAAGACAGCUGAAUGAUCGUCAAUCUGAAGGUUUUACAUGACUAGCUGAGAGGAGGCGCAUGGCCGUCGUCAGUUCGUACUGUGAAGCAUCCUGUUAAGUCAGGCAACGAGCGAGACCCACGCCGACAAUUGCCAGCAGCAUCUCCGGAUGGCUGGGGACAUUGUCGGGACCGCCUCUGCUAAAGGGGAGGAAGGAAUGGGCAACGGUAGGUCAGCAUGCCCCGAAUUAUCCGGGCUACAYGCGGGCUACAAUGGACGGGACAAUGGGUAACAACACCGAAAGGUGCAGUCAAUCUCCGAACCCCGCCCUUAGUUAGGAUUGCGGGUUGCAACUCACCCGCAUGAAUCUGAAUCUGUAGUAAUCGCGUUUCACUAUAGCNNNGUGAAUACGUCCCUGCUCCUUGCACACACCGCCCGU
This 501-nucleotide ribosomal RNA is filed under the name uncultured bacterium. RNAcentral's name for it is "bacterial SSU rRNA". It matches the Rfam family "Archaeal small subunit ribosomal RNA", at positions 852 to 1352 of the family's 1478-position model. The record is from RNAcentral.